RNAcentral lists this ribosomal RNA (785 nucleotides) under uncultured Bacillota bacterium. Its description in RNAcentral is "bacterial SSU rRNA". It matches the Rfam family "Bacterial small subunit ribosomal RNA", at positions 64 to 827 of the family's 1533-position model. The record is from RNAcentral. Lineage: Bacteria; Bacillati; Bacillota.
AAACGGAAAACUUAUUUCAGUAAGUUCCUAGUGGCGAACGGGUGAGUAACGCGUGGGCAACCUGCCCUCCAGUUGGGGACAACAUUCCGAAAGGGAUGCUAAUACCGAAUGUGCUCCCUCCUCCGCAUGGAGGAGGGAGGAAAGAUGGCCUCUGCUUGCAAGCUAUCGCUGGAAGAUGGGCCCGCGUCUGAUUAGCUAGUUGGUGGGGUAACGGCUCACCAAGGCGAUGAUCAGUAGCCGGUCUGAGAGGAUGAACGGCCACAUUGGGACUGAGACACGGCCCAAACUCCUACGGGAGGCAGCAGUGGGGAAUCUUCCGCAAUGGACGAAAGUCUGACGGAGCAACGCCGCGUGAGUGAUGGAGGUCUUCGGAUUGUAAAACUCUGUUGUUAGGGACGAAAGCACCGUGUUCGAACAGGUCAUGGUGUUGACGGUACCUAACGAGGAAGCCACGGCUAACUACGUGCCAGCAGCCGCGGUAAUACGUAGGUGGCAAGCGUUGUCCGGAAUUAUUGGGCGUAAAGAGCAUGUAGGCGGGCUUUUAAGUCUGACGUGAAAAUGCGGGGCUUAACCCCGUAUGGCGUUGGAUACUGGAAGUCUUGAGUGCAGGAGAGGAAAGGGGAAUUCCCAGUGUAGCGGUGAAAUGCGUAGAUAUUGGGAGGAACACCAGUGGCGAAGGCGCCUUUCUGGACUGUGUCUGACGCUGAGAUGCGAAAGCCAGGGUAGCAAACGGGAUUAGAUACCCCGGUAGUCCUGGCCGUAAGCGACGGAUAAUAGUCGGGAGA